Molecule: ribosomal RNA, 253 nt
Filed under: uncultured bacterium
Lineage: Bacteria
Description: partial 16S ribosomal RNA
Rfam family: Bacterial small subunit ribosomal RNA
Source: RNAcentral
UACGUAGGGUGCGAGCGUUAAUCGGAAUUACUGGGCGUAAAGCGCGCGCAGGCGGCGCGUUAAGACAGGUGUGAAAGCCCCGAGCUUAACUUGGGAAUUGCGCUUGUGACUGGCGUGCUGGAGUGUGGCAGAGGGAGGUGGAAUUCCACGUGUAGCAGUGAAAUGCGUAGAGAUGUGGAGGAACACCGAUGGCGAAGGCAGCCUCCUGGGCCAGCACUGACGCUCAUGCACGAAAGCGUGGGGAGCAAACAGG